UAACUCGAGCAAAUAUUUGUCCGCGUUUUUACAAGCGAUUCGUCAUCAAUCACGCCAUCCUGGCUAGUACAACCGGCACUUUGUACCUACCAAAUCCUGAUAAAAACUUCCGGCUGUACUAGCCAGGAUGGCGUGGCCUGACGUGAGCAUUGAACUAUAAAUAAACUGGAAGGCUAACUCAGAGGGGGAAAUUGAAGCCAGUGUAUUUUAGUUUUUCUGAGUUAUGAGCAGAAAUACUCAACAUUGAACGUUGGGCUAUAUAUCAAAUUGAAGCUAUUGAAAAACGCUAUUUGGUGUGGAAAUUUCAAGACUUUAGCUAAAAGGGAAAUAUUGAAAAACUAC
Non-coding RNA from Paramuricea clavata, 342 nucleotides. Lineage: Eukaryota; Metazoa; Cnidaria; Anthozoa; Malacalcyonacea; Plexauridae. The record is from the annotation of a GenBank genome assembly.